Molecule: ribosomal RNA, 422 nt
Filed under: uncultured bacterium
Lineage: Bacteria
Description: partial 16S ribosomal RNA
Rfam family: Bacterial small subunit ribosomal RNA
Source: RNAcentral
UUUUGGACAAUGGGGGAAACCCUGAUCCAGCCAGCCCGCGUGUAUGAUGAAGGCCUUCGGGUUGUAAAGUACUUUUGGCAGAUAAGAAAAGGUAUCCCCUAAUACGGGAUACUGCUGACGGUAUCUGCAGAAUAAGCACCGGCUAACUACGUGCUAGCAGCCGCGGUAAUACUUAGGGUGCAACCGUUAAGCGGAAUUACUGGGCGUAAAUCGAGUGUAGGCGGUUCGGAAAGAAAGAUGUGAAAUCCCAGGGCUCAACCAUGGAACUGCAUUUUUAACUGCCGAGCAAGAGUAUGUCAGAGGGGGGUAGAAUUCCACGUGUAGCAGUGAAAAGCGUAGAUAUGUAGAGGAAUACCGAUGGCGAAGGCAGCCCCCUGGGAUAAUACUGACGCUCAGACACGAAAGCGUGGGGAGCAAACAGG